UACGUAGGGUGCAAGCGUUGUCCGGAAUUAUUGGGCGUAAAGAGCUCGUAGGCGGUCUGUCGCGUCGGCUGUGAAAACCCGCGGCUCAACCUCGGGCCUGCAGUCGAUACGGGCAGACUAGAGUGCGGUAGGGGAGACUGGAAUUCCUGGUGUAGCGGUGAAAUGCGCAGAUAUCAGGAGGGAACACCGGUGGGCGAAAGGCGGGUCUCUGGGCCGUAACUGACGCUGGAGGAGCG
Molecule: ribosomal RNA, 236 nt
Filed under: uncultured bacterium
Lineage: Bacteria
Description: partial 16S ribosomal RNA
Rfam family: Bacterial small subunit ribosomal RNA
Source: RNAcentral